GGUUUAUUAGUAUAUCGGUUAGUACACUGGCCUGUCACGCCGGAGGGAAGGGUUCAACUCCCUUAUAGACCGCCA
This 75-nucleotide transfer RNA is filed under the name Pseudomonas phage PPSC2. Its description in RNAcentral is "tRNA-Asp". It matches the Rfam family "tRNA". From Rfam's summary of the family: Transfer RNA (tRNA) molecules are approximately 80 nucleotides in length. The record is from RNAcentral. Lineage: Duplodnaviria; Heunggongvirae; Uroviricota; Caudoviricetes; Vandenendeviridae.